UGGACACUGCCCACAAGGGGCAUUGUGCCACACAGUUGGGCAUAGCCCCGAAGUUAUGUUACUUUUCUGCCAGGAACUUGCCUACAAGGAGAACAUCGGAACAUUUCUGCCUCAGCAUAUAGGUUAUAUGGCUGUCAUGCCUUUCAUUACCACAGAGUAAAUUUUGACAUUUACCUAGGCACAGCUCACAGGCAUGAUAAUGACUCUCAUAUGUGGACCCCACAAGUAGGAGUAAUUUUGACUCUUGUAACUUGCUUUAGAAACAUAAGUGAUGUCUUAGAUCUCUUUCUGGCAAAAAGGUCACAGAAGAUUAUAACAGCCUCAGAUAAUUUGCAGCCCUUGGCUUGUACAGAGAGUGUCAGAACAGAACCCAGCAGAAAGGAGAAAUUGUGAGUCUCAUAUGUACACCCAGCUGACUGUAAGGACUGUCACCAUCUUACAUACAUGAAGCCAACUGUCACACAUGAAAAGAGGACAUGUGUGGUAUUGUAAAUCUCAUCUCGAAUAUUCUCUGUGUGACUGUGAUAUAAAUCUUUGCCAAGCAUCUGUGUGAUUUGACUCUCCAAACUGGUUCCAGCCCAUAUAUACGGGAUUGUGAUCUCUACCUGGGCCAACCUCUAGAUAAUGUGACUCUCCUGCCUGGGCCCUUCUCUCAGUAAGGGUUGUGACAUAUCACUGGAUCUAACACCCAGGUGAUGUUACAUUCUUGCCUGGACCAUGCACAGAGACAUCAUUGUGACAUAUCACUGUGUCCACCACUUAGGUGAUGUAACUCUCCUCUCUGGAAUGGACCCUGAAUACGGAGUGGUAGUGACAUCUUCCUAGGCCAGACACACAGGUGUUGGUACUCUUUUUCCAGGGCUAUGUUUCAAGGAGGGCAUUGUGACAUAUCUCUGGACCUAUCACCGAGGUGAUAUGACUCAACGCUUGGGCCUCACCAACGUAGAACAUUGUGACAUAAAAGUUAAACCUGCAUCAAAGGUGUUGUAACUCUUUCACCUUGGUCCUGUCCUAAGGGAGCCCUGCAACAUAUCUCAGGACCCAGCACUCAGGAACAUUGUGACAUCGUUGGACAUAGCAUCUAGGAAAUGUGACUCUUCUCUCCUGCCUAGGUCCUGCCCACUAAAGGAAUUGUGACAUACCACUGAGUGCAAAACCUAGCCCUGUCUACAGUGGACAUGGUACCAUAUGACUUGAGGCUGUAUCCAGGUGAUGUGACUCUUCUGACUUGGCCCUGCCUGCAAAGGAAAUUAUAAUGUAUCCUGAGCUCAGAAUCCAGGCGAUGAGACUCUGCUGCCUCUUUUCUGCCCACAAGUGAAAUUGUGACUUAUACCUGCGUUCAGCUCACAUGCACAAAUAUAACUAUUAUACCUGGA
Molecule: long non-coding RNA, 1376 nt
Organism: Pan troglodytes (chimpanzee)
Lineage: Eukaryota; Metazoa; Chordata; Mammalia; Primates; Hominidae
Exons: 3
Source: RefSeq, a predicted model, not a curated record